AUCUAUAUCUUUUCUUUAAAGUAAUGCAAAUCGACAACAAUAUUUGUAUAGUAUAAUUCUAACCAUUUUUACGGAUGUUUUAUUUAUCUUUUUAAGUGGGUGCACUAACAGUAAUUGUGGUUUGUAAGUAUUUGCUCAUUUAAAAUGUUUUUUUUUAAGCGAGUCCUUAUUCAUUUCACUGCAAGCCAGUGACCGUCUGAAAUUGGUACUAUUUUAAAAUGACCAUUCUAUGUAAUUCUAUUAUUUUCGUAUGUUCAUCGGAUAGUUUAGAUAAUUCUGCUUAUAUAUACUCUAUGCGAGCGACCGACUUGUGAUCUAUUUUGAUCUGGAGAAUACUAAACAUUAUGAAAUAGUACUUCAACAUACUGAUACAAUUUAGACUUAUGGUCAUCCAAUGCUUUGACCAAGUAUGCCCAUCUUUUUAUUUCUGA
RNAcentral lists this long non-coding RNA (431 nucleotides) under Mytilus galloprovincialis (Mediterranean mussel). The record is from RNAcentral. Lineage: Eukaryota; Metazoa; Mollusca; Bivalvia; Mytilida; Mytilidae.